CUUCACCAGCAUUCCCAUAAGACACUACUACAGAAUGACAUUAUGGCAAAUACUGUGACUAUAUCAUAGGUCACAGUGCCUGCUGCCAUAGACCUGGUCCAUACUCUGUGCACACUUGACUGAUCCACAGGGUUUAGUAGAUGAGUUUCAGAUUACAUUCUGAAUAAUGACUUAUCAAUAGACCGCCUACACCUUUUGUCUGUGCCACCUGAAGGUAGACCAUUUAAUACCUCUGACAUAAUGGACUUAGUCUACUUCUCACUGCUCUGUGAACAGAUGUUCAGUGCCCCUGGAAUCCGACUUCCUUCUGUUCUAAGGGGGAAUCAGCGACCAACCAACCAGGACCACAUCCUGUGACUCCUGUCCACAUGAAGGUAUCGUGAGAAGAGGGUGUUUGAACAAAGGGAGGUCAAGGAGUACUGUUUAAAGUUCAAAGUUCAACUGUAUAGUGAGAAGUGAGCAAAUUAACGGUAACAGAUGCCUGGAUGUCUGGCCACUGUUUAUUCCGAAAGGACUCUUGCAUCCUUGUGUUUGGGAACGAUUGCAUUGUACCGGCAGAGAAACUCACAUUCGUUUUUCUUGGCAAUGACCCUAUAUUUCUACGGAAUUGGACUACUGUUUAGCCUUAGCAAUAACAAUGCAUUGUUCCCAGUAAACCUCAUUCCUACCUCAUGUUUUAUCUGAAAGUGAGGUCAUGCUGUACUGGUUGGAUAUUCAGAGGGAUUUAUAUAGACUACAGUGUUCUAUUUAUUGGUUUCAAAAAAA
Long non-coding RNA from Oncorhynchus tshawytscha (Chinook salmon), 765 nucleotides. Lineage: Eukaryota; Metazoa; Chordata; Actinopteri; Salmoniformes; Salmonidae. The record is from Ensembl.